AGCAACAAGCAAGACCUAGGUGUAAAUCGUUGUUGCUUUCAAAAUAAAACCAGCUGGAUAAAAAUCGCCCGUGAAGAAGAACCGUACAAUCGUUCAGGUUAUGGUUAAGGUGUUAUGGCUCAGAUAACAAAGUAAUGCAACUUUAGCUGAAAAAAGGAAAUGUACAUAAUGAGUACGUAUUUGGUCAUGUUAAACGUUGUAUUUCAAUAUGGGUUUUAUUUUGAAACUUGGGAAGGGACGUCUCUCUAACUUUGGAGUUAGUUACACCUUGCUGCGUCCCACCCAUAAAACCUGUGUGCAUUUGCCAUAAAAGUGCACAGGUGGGUCUGUGAGACGUGGACAGAGGACAGCUACGGACCCAAAUGGAGAGCAAGACUCCGUCCAAAGGUCCUGUCGGAGCAGGUGCCUGUGGUCUGCAGCCCCUUCCUGAGGUAGCCGAGCCCGAAGACCUGAGCAAUGUGGAGGGCAGCAAGUGCCAACCCGGACACCCUGCAGGGGCAAGAGAUGCAAAGGAGGUGCACUCAUUGGACAGCUCUCCGUCUUCCUCGGAGAGCGAGGACGAGGGUCUCUGCAAGAAAGACAAGAAGAAGAAAAAGCUGAAAAAGAAAACAAAGAAGAAGAAGAAGAAGGAUUCCAGCUCAUCCUCUUCCUCCUCCUCCUCCUCCUCCUCCUCCUCCAGUAGCUCUUCAGAGAGUGACAGCGAGGAUGACAAGAAGAAGAAGAAGAAAAAGCAGAAGAAGGACGAAGGGCAGAAAGAGUGUGUCCGGGACGAUGUUAUCAUAUGUAGUCCUGGUGGCCAGAUGGAGCAGCCGGGUGCAGAAGGUGCAGAAGGUGUGAAGAUGAGCCAGGAUUGUAACUCCUCAGAUGGUGAAGAUGACAAGAAGAAGAAGAAGAAGAAGAAGAAGAAGAAGAAGAAGCAGGACAAGAAGAAGAAGAAAAAGAAGAAGGAUUCGUCUUCUUCCUCAUCUGACUGUUCCUGCUCCGACUGCGAGGACGAAAAGAAGAAGAAGAAGAAGAAGAAGAAGAAGAAGAGGAAGAAGAAGGACUCAAGCUCCUCUUCCUCAGACAGCUCUUCAUCAUCCUCUGACAGCGAGGAUGACAAGAAGAAAAAGGACAAGAAGAAGAAGAAGAAGAAAAAGAAAGACAAGAAAAAGGAUUCCAGCUGCUCGUCUUCAUCUUCAUCUUCUGACAGUGAUAAAGAUGAGAAGAAAAAGAAGAACAAGAAGAAGAAGAAGAAGAAGAAGAAGAAGAAUGACAAGGAAAAGAAGAACAAGAAACACGAUGAAGAGCAGAAUGAGCUCUGCGGUGGAGCUGCUCCUCCAGCUUCUGGUGAGUGUUUUUCUGCAGGUGGUGAGACUCCGGGACCAAGUGCUGAUGGAGAGAAAAAGAAAGACGAUUCUGCCGACAAGGUCAAGAAAGAGCCUAAAGAAAAAGAAAAAUGUGGAGCAAAGGCCUUCGCUGACGCUAUUGAGGAAGGCCACCUGAGUGACGACGAGGGAGAAGGAGAGAACCACAAGAAGAAGAAGAAGAAGAUGCUGAAGAAGAAGAAGGAGAAGGGUUCCGGCUCAUCAUCAGACAGUGAUGACGACGAAGAAGACAAGAAGAAGAAAAAGAAGAAGAAGGAGAAGGACUCCUCCAGCUCCUCCUCUUCGUCUGAUAGUUGCUCCUCAGAUAGUGAUGAGGACAAGAAGAAGAAGAAGAAGAAGAAGAAGAAGGAUUCUGGAUCCUGCUCGUCUUCUUCAUCCUCUGAUAGCGAAGAGGACAAGAAGAAGAAGAAGAAGAAGAAGAAGAAGAAGAAGAAGAAAAAGAAGAAGAAGAUGAAGGAUAAGGACUCCUCCUCUUCUUCAUGCUCGGAUAGUGAAGAGGACAAGAAGAAGAAGAAGAAGAAGAAGAAGAAGAAGAAGACGAAGAAGAAGAAGAAGGAUAAGGACUCGUCCUCUCCUUCAUGCUCUGAUACUGAAGAGGACAAGAAGAAGAAGAAGAAGAAGAAGAAGAAGUCCUCUUGCGCUGAGAGUGAUGACGACAAGAAGAAGAAGAAGAAAGAUAAGAAGAAGAAGAAGAAAAAGAAGGAUUGUUCCUCUGGAUCGUCCAGUGAUUCGAGUGAUAAUGACAAGAAGAAGAAGAAGAAGAAGAAGAAGAAGAAAAGGAAAGAUAAGAAGAAAAAGAAAGACAAGAAGAAGGACUCCGAUUCUUCUACCAGUGCUGAUGACAAAAAGAAGAAGAAAGACAAGAAGAAGAAAAAGAAGGACAAAAAGAAGGACUCAAAGUCCAGUUCAUCGUGUCCAUCUGACGGCAGUGACAAGGAGAAUAAAAAGGACAAGAAGAAGAAGAGGUCUGGUUCAUCAGGAAGUGAAACUGACAAUAAGAAAAAGAGGGAAUGCUCUGAUGGCGAGCGAGGCGGCGAAGAUCCCGGUGCCGGUCGGGCCGGACUUUCAGCUCCCGGUGGCAGCUGCUCUACGCCUGCCGCUGCUCCCGCCGUCCCCUACGUGUCCCUCCCCUCCAAACCUGUUGUGAAGAUGGAUCCUCUGCGUCCUUCAACUGUCUGCCGGCCCUCUGCCCCUGUCUCCUCUGCCCCCGCCUCUUCUGCCCCUGUCUCCUCUGCCCCCGCCUCUUCUGCCCCUGUCUCCUCUGCGCCCGCCUCUUCUGCCCCUGUCUCCUCUGCGCCCGCCUCUUCUGCCCCCGCCUCUUCUGCCCCUGUCUCCUCUGCGCCCGCCUCUUCUGCCCCUGUCUCCUCUGCGCCCGCCUCUUCUGCCCCUGUCUGCUCUGCCCCCGCCUCUUCUGUCCCUGGGUCCUAUGUCCCUGGGUCCUUUGUCGCUGGCUCCUAUGUCCCUGGGUCCUAUGUCCCCGGCUCCUCGAGUGUUGGAGAUAAGGCCCCCAAUCGUAGGCCUCCCAGCCCCAUGGAGGCCCUGAUGGGGAGCCCGAGGCGGUACGGCUCCUCCCAUCUCAGCUCAAGCGACCUAUUGAAAGGCCCCAAGCCUUAUCAAUGAUGAGAUCAAAACACGCGUUACUCGUGUUUCCUUUUAAAGCAACUGGAGGAUGUCGACCAUGAGAGGAGAUAUGAUUCCUUGAUUUCAUGCUGGAUAAAUGUGAUGACUGGUGGAAAAACGUAUUGUGACACGAUGAAAAUGUCCAAGAUGAGAAGUAUAAUCCAAACAUGGAAAGUCACGAUUGUGUUUUUAAUCAAUAAAGCGCACAUGUGUAAUAAUACUACAGUCUUCUAUGUGUUUUGUUUCAUGUCUCAGGUUUAUGCUGCCUUCAGGGGGC
Gasterosteus aculeatus aculeatus (three-spined stickleback) is the source of this 3264-nucleotide long non-coding RNA. The record is from Ensembl. NCBI's taxonomy places the organism in Eukaryota, Metazoa, Chordata, Actinopteri, Perciformes, Gasterosteidae.